This 76-nucleotide transfer RNA is filed under the name bacterium. RNAcentral describes it as "tRNA-Arg". It matches the Rfam family "tRNA". From Rfam's summary of the family: Transfer RNA (tRNA) molecules are approximately 80 nucleotides in length. The record is from RNAcentral. RNAcentral also lists the same sequence under 1 other name.
GCACCUGUAGCUCAGUGGAUAGAGCAGUUCCCUUCUAAGGAAAAGGUCGGGGGUUCAACUCCCUCCAGGUGCGCCA